This 517-nucleotide ribosomal RNA is filed under the name uncultured bacterium. RNAcentral's name for it is "bacterial SSU rRNA". It matches the Rfam family "Bacterial small subunit ribosomal RNA", at positions 355 to 889 of the family's 1533-position model. The record is from RNAcentral.
UGGGGAAUCUUGGACAAUGGGGGCAACCCUGAUCCAGCCAUGCCGCGUGAGUGAUGAAGGCCUUAGGGUCGUAAAGCUCUUUCGCCUGUGAAGAUAAUGACGGUAGCAGGUAAAGAAACCCCGGCUAACUCCGUGCCAGCAGCCGCGGUAAUACGGAGGGGGUUAGCGUUGUUCGGAAUUACUGGGCGUAAAGCGCACGUAGGCGGACCAGAAAGUUGGGGGUGAAAUCCCGGGGGCUCAACCCCGGAACUGCCUCCAAAACUAUCGGUCUAGAGUUCGAGAGAGGUGAGUGGAAUUCCGAGUGUAGAGGUGAAAUUCGUAGAUAUUUGGAGGAACACCAGUGGCGAAGGCGGCUCACUGGCUCGAUACUGACGCUGAGGUGCGAAAGUGUGGGGAGCAAACAGGAUUAGAUACCCUGGUAGUCCACACCGUAAACGAUGAAUGCCAGUCGUCGGGUAGCAUGCUAUUCGGUGACACACCUAACGGAUUAAGCAUUCCGCCUGGGGAGUACGGUCGC